This 281-nucleotide long non-coding RNA is filed under the name Suricata suricatta (meerkat). Its description in RNAcentral is "Nuclear RNase P (ENSSSUG00005014648.1)". It matches the Rfam family "Nuclear RNase P", at positions 1 to 213 of the family's 301-position model. Rfam says of the family: Ribonuclease P (RNase P) is a ubiquitous endoribonuclease, found in archaea, bacteria and eukarya as well as chloroplasts and mitochondria. Its best characterised activity is the generation of mature 5'-ends of tRNAs by cleaving the 5'-leader elements of precursor-tRNAs. The record is from RNAcentral. Lineage: Eukaryota; Metazoa; Chordata; Mammalia; Carnivora; Herpestidae.
UAAGGCGGAAGCUCAUCGGUGGGGCUUCGAGCUGAGUGCCUUGCGUCACUCUACCCCAUGUUCCCUGGGAAGGUCUGAAACUAGGGCCAUAAAGUGGCCCUAACAAGGUCCUCCUUGAGUCUCGGGAGGUGAGUUCCCAAUUAGGUGUUUAAUCUAUUUUGAGUCUGUUUUUGUGUAAGAAAGUGAUCCAGGUUCAUUUUUGUGCAUGUCACUGUCUAGUUUUCCUAGCACCACUUGCUGAAGAGACUGUCUUUAUUCCAUUGAAUAUUCUUUCCUGCUUU